AUGGCUCAGGCUCAUCAUGCCUCGAGCGUCCUCCUCCUCCUCCUCGUGGCCUUCUCGUUCGCCGGCUCCGCCUUUGCCGCCGACGUGGCGGUGCUCGGCCGGAAGGCCGGUAUUGGCGCCGUUGCCGAGGAGGGGCCCGAGCUGAAGGCGGCGCCCGGGAAGUACGCGGUGAUCUUCGACGCGGGCAGCACGGGCACGCGCGUGCACGUCUUCCGGUUCGACAAGAAGAUGGAGCUCAUCGACAUCGGCGACGGCGACGACAUCGAGGUCUUCGCCAAGGUGGAGCCGGGGCUGAGCGCGUACGCCGGACGGCCGCAGGAGGCGGCCAAGUCCAUCGUGCCUCUGCUGGAGAAGGCCAAGAGCACCGUGCCCCGCUGGCUCAUGAAGAAAACGCCCGUUAAACUAGGGGCGACGGCUGGGCUCAGGCUCAUCGGAGACGAGAAAGCAGAGCAAAUUCUUGAAGCAGUGAGGGAUGCUGUCCACAGCCAGAGCAAAUUCCAGUACAACCCUAGUUGGAUCAAUGUCCUCAAGGGGUCUCAGGAAGGGUCUUACCUGUGGGUUGCCCUGAAUUAUCUGCUGGGUAAUCUGGGAGGAGACUACUCCAAGACGGUGGGUGUGAUCGACCUUGGAGGUGGGUCCGUGCAGAUGGCAUAUGCCAUCUCUGCGGAUGCCGCCGCCGCCGCUCCCGGGGUGCCUCAAGGGGACGAUCCAUACGUCACCAAAGAGUAUCUCAAAGGAAGAGAUUACAAUGUCUAUGUUCACAGCUACUUGCACUAUGGCGCAAUGGCUUCUCGGGUAGAGAUCUUCAAGGCCAAGAAUGGUCCAGUGAGCUACUGCAUGCUGCGCGGAUACAAUGGCAAAUACACCUAUAAUGGAGAGCAAUACGACGCCAUAGCGCCUCCGCAAGGAGCGGCAUACGACAAGUGCAGAGAGGACGUCACAAGGGCGCUUAAGAUCAGUGCGCCCUGCCAGGCCAAGAACUGCACCUUCAACGGCGCAUGGAACGGUGGCGGUGGCCCCGGCCAGGCCGACCUCUACGUCACCUCCAGCUUCUACUACAUGGCAUCAGAUGUUGGCUUGAUCGACAGUGAGGCCACAAGUGGGAAGACCACCCCUGCGGCGUUCAGGGCCGCCGCCGAGAAGAUUUGCCCGAUGGGCUUCGUGGAAGCCAAGGCCGCGUACCCCAAGGUGCGAUCCGCCGACGCGCCCUACAUAUGCAUGGAUCUCAUCUACCAGUACUCCUUGCUCGCGGACGGUUUCGGUCUGGAGCCCACCAAGGAAAUCACGGUGGCGCAGAAGGUGAAGCACGGGGAGUACUUCAUCGAAGCCGCGUGGGCGCUCGGAGAAGCCAUUGAGGCCGUCUCGCCGACCAAGCGGCUCAACGAUGCAUGA
Molecule: ribosomal RNA, 1392 nt
Filed under: Triticum aestivum (bread wheat)
Lineage: Eukaryota; Viridiplantae; Streptophyta; Magnoliopsida; Poales; Poaceae
Description: partial small subunit ribosomal RNA
Source: RNAcentral